AUACGUAGGGGGCGAGCGUUGUCCGGAAUGAUUGGGCGUAAGGGGCGCGUAGGCGGCUUUGCAAGUCAGUAUUGAAAGUCCAUUUUUAAAGGUUGGAAUGGCGGCAGAAACUGCGGAGCUUAAGUGCAGGAGAGGUUAUCGGAAUUCCCGUGGUGGCGUUGAAAUGCGUAGAGAUCGGGAGGAACACCAGUGGCGAAGGCGGGUAACUGGACUGCAACUGACGCUGAGGCGCGAAAGUGUGGGGAGCAAACAGGAUUAGAUACCCUGGUAGUCCACACUGUAAACGAUGAAUGCUAGGUGUAGGAGGUAUCGACCCCUUCUGUGCCGCAGUAAACACAGUAAGCAUUCCGCCUGGGGAGUACGGUCGCAAGAUUAAAACUCAAAUGAAUUGGCGGGG
RNAcentral lists this ribosomal RNA (397 nucleotides) under uncultured bacterium. Its description in RNAcentral is "partial 16S ribosomal RNA". It matches the Rfam family "Bacterial small subunit ribosomal RNA", at positions 523 to 918 of the family's 1533-position model. The record is from RNAcentral.